UCAUUUCCAUCAGUUAGGAAAGGCAAAAGCAACUGUGCGCGGGCGAUUAUCGCGUAGAGCUUUUAUCGAAAAGCGUAGGUGCAGGCGAAAGCUAGUUUAAAAAUCCCUGUGAAACAUUUCGUAAUACAGUGAGAGCCGCGAAGAAUGAUACGCACAGAUCAUAGUGGGACGCCAUUAGAAAUUUUAGACGGUCACAAGUCGGACAAGACACCAAUACACACAACAAAACGCAGCCUCUAAACCCUUGAAGAAGGCGAAAUAUACGCCGAAACGUCGGAGAAGUAGAAGCAAAAGUCGUUUUAGCUGCCUUAAGACUGAUAGAGCCGAUAAAACUUUAGAAA
This is a long non-coding RNA of Aedes aegypti (yellow fever mosquito), 341 nucleotides long. RefSeq lists it as uncharacterized. The transcript has 3 exons. The record is from RefSeq and is a predicted model, not a curated record. Lineage: Eukaryota; Metazoa; Arthropoda; Insecta; Diptera; Culicidae.